AUGUCUGUGAUUAAAUUCCCUAAGUGGGCCAUCAAAGCCAUCACUUCUCUGAUGGCACAUUUCUUCUGGGGGGACUCGGGUGAUGAACAUAAAUACCAUCUUGCUAACUGGGGUCUGAUUUCUCAGAAAAAAGAAUUUGGUGGUUUGGGGAUUCCCAAUUUAAGAGAGUUCAAUAUGGCUUUAUUAGCUUCUUGGGCUAAAAGAUACUUCAUAAAUCAGGAUAAGGAUUGGGUGAGAUUGGUUGAUCGUAAGUAUAAACCUAAUAAACCUAAUUUGUUGUGGGCCAAGCAGGGUGUGGGUUCACCAUUUUGGAAAGGGGUGACCUGGUCUUUGGAAGGCAUUAGACCUUUUUUUAGAUGGAAUUUGGGGAAUGGGGAAAAGAUUAGCUUCUGGGAUGACACUUGGGCUGGGGAUUCUUCCCUGAAAACUCAAUUUUGGGAGGUGUAUGAGAUUUGCCAGCAACAACAUUGUGUGGUAGCUGUGGAGUGGGAUGGCAACACCCUCAAACUCACAUUUAAUAGGUGUGUUAGUGAGGGGUUUAUGGACAGAUCCCAUGACUUGAUCCAGGUCAUCUCCACCAAAAUCUUAUCACUGAGGAAGACCAACCUAUCUGGCUAUUGGAGCCAUCUGGGAUAUACUCUGUCAGAUCUUGUUAUAAUAUGA
RNAcentral lists this ribosomal RNA (663 nucleotides) under Triticum aestivum (bread wheat). RNAcentral's name for it is "partial small subunit ribosomal RNA". The record is from RNAcentral. Lineage: Eukaryota; Viridiplantae; Streptophyta; Magnoliopsida; Poales; Poaceae.